UACGGGGGGGGCAAGCGUUGUUCGGAAUUACUGGGCGUAAAGGGCUCGUAGGCGGCCAACUAAGUCAGACGUGAAAUCCCCAGGCUCAACCUGGGAACUGCGUCUGAUACUGGAUGGCUUGAAUCCGGGAGAGGGAUGCAGAAUUCCAGGUGUAGCGGUGAAAUGCGUAGAUAUCUGGAGGAAUACCGGUGGCGAAGGCGGCAUCCUGGACCGGCAUUGACGCUGAGGAGCGAAAGCCAGGGGAACAAACGGG
RNAcentral lists this ribosomal RNA (253 nucleotides) under uncultured bacterium. RNAcentral describes it as "partial 16S ribosomal RNA". It matches the Rfam family "Bacterial small subunit ribosomal RNA", at positions 524 to 776 of the family's 1533-position model. The record is from RNAcentral.